This is a long non-coding RNA of Cyprinus carpio carpio, 930 nucleotides long. The record is from Ensembl. Lineage: Eukaryota; Metazoa; Chordata; Actinopteri; Cypriniformes; Cyprinidae.
AGGGCAUACACAUGACUUACAUGAAACCAGUGUUGGCACCGCACACUACAGUCAACAACUCCAGGAGAAAUAAAUAGAAAACAACAGUGAAUAGGAGAAAUUCGAACAAACAGAAGAUCGGAGUUCUAGAAUCAUUGACACCUAGAAGCUUCUAGAACCAUCCUGAAGAGGAAUGCACCUGUUCAGGUAACCGGGAGUAAGUUUUUAUGACGGUUUUGUUUUCAGGUAAUUGUAUGGAGUGAUUUUCCUGCUGAACGAAGCCUAGACCAGCCAAUCCGGUUGAGCCGGCGACCUUGAAUGACCGCUGAUCUAUAUCCUAUAUUAUGUUAAACGUAAUGUAUAUGUAUAUCCCCACUGAAAAGAACAGCUAAAACCAACCUAAGGUGGUUGGCUGGUCUUAGCUGGUUUAAGCUGGAAGUAACUGGUUUUAGCUGGUCUCCAUCAGCUAAACAAGUCAACAAAACCUCUCUAACACCGGCCUGUUGACCAGCCAUCCACACAAAUUAACCAUGCUACUACAAAUAAAACCAAAAACCAUGGUUACUAUAGUUAAACCAUGAUAAACACAAAUUAACCACGUUACACUAACCGUAUUUUAACCAUGGUAUCUGUAGUAAAACUGUGGCUAUAUAAAUGGUAAACAAUACUCCAAAAAACAUGGCUAAUUAAGGGCAGCUUAGGUAGGGUUGAGCUGUUAUUCAUAAAAAUGAUUUUUUUGCUGGUUUUCACUGUCUGUUAGUUCCCAACAUAUCUACACUGUCAAGCUGGUUUACCAACAACACCCACACUAUUCCAGAUCAGACCAAUACUGACUAUCUAUCAGUUCUUCAGGAAUUCACAUGACUUUUGGGAUUAGAUUCGGACAACCAUAAGUAAACAAAGUGAUGUUAGCAAAGUAUUAAUAUAGUUAAUUAUUAUUAAAGGUGUUCA